UUGAACGCUGGCGGCAGGCCUAACACAUGCAAGUCGAGCGGAUGAAGGGAGCUUGCUCCUGGAUUCAGCGGCGGACGGGUGAGUAAUGCCUAGGAAUCUGCCUGGUAGUGGGGGAUAACGUCCGGAAACGGGCGCUAAUACCGCAUACGUCCUGAGGGAGAAAGUGGGGGAUCUUCGGACCUCACGCUAUCAGAUGAGCCUAGGUCGGAUUAGCUAGUUGGUGGGGUAAAGGCCUAUCAAGGCGACGAUCCGUAACUGGUCUGAGAGGAUGAUCAGUCACACUGGAACUGAGACACGGUCCAGACUCCUACGGGAGGCAGCAGUGGGGAAUAUUGGACAAUGGGCGAAAGCCUGAUCCAGCCAUGCCGCGUGUGUGAAGAAGGUCUUCGGAUUGUAAAGCACUUUAAGUUGGGAGGAAGGGCAGUAAGUUAAUACCUUGCUGUUUUGACGUUACCAACAGAAUAAGCACCGGCUAACUUCGUG
This 483-nucleotide ribosomal RNA is filed under the name uncultured bacterium. Its description in RNAcentral is "partial 16S ribosomal RNA". It matches the Rfam family "Bacterial small subunit ribosomal RNA", at positions 30 to 507 of the family's 1533-position model. The record is from RNAcentral.